RNAcentral lists this ribosomal RNA (468 nucleotides) under uncultured bacterium. RNAcentral describes it as "partial 16S ribosomal RNA". It matches the Rfam family "Bacterial small subunit ribosomal RNA", at positions 28 to 507 of the family's 1533-position model. The record is from RNAcentral.
GACGAACGCUGGCGGCGUGCUUAACACAUGCAAGUCGAACGGUGAUGCUCCAGCUUGCUGGCGUGGAUCAGUGGCGAACGGGUGAGUAACACGUGAGCAACCUGCCCCAGACUCUGGAAUAAGCGCUGGAAACGGCGUCUAAUACUGGAUACGAAACUGGCCCGCAUGGGCAUGGUUUGUAAAGUUUUUCGGUUUGGGAUGGGCUCGCGGCCUAUCAGCUUGUUGGUGAGGUAAUGGCUCACCAAGGCGACGACGGGUAGCCGGCCUGAGAGGGCGACCGGCCACACUGGGACUGAGACACGGCCCAGACUCCUACGGGAGGCAGCAGUGGGGAAUAUUGCACAAUGGGCGAAAGCCUGAUGCAGCGACGCCGCGUGAGGGAUGACGGCCUUCGGGUUGUAAACCUCUUUCAGCAGGGAAGAAGCGAAAGUGACGGUACCUGCAGAAGAAGCACCGGCUAACUACGUG